UUAAAUGCUCUGCGAGACCUUCAUCCAUUACCCAAGAUAAUUUUGGAAUACAGGCAGGUUCACAAGAUCAAGUCAACCUUUGUAGAUGGAUUACUAGCUUGCAUGAAAAAGGGCUCCAUUUCCUCUACAUGGAAUCAGACUGGAACUGUGACUGGAAGACUUUCAGCCAAGCAUCCUGUAAGUUGUUUAAACAACUGUCUUUGUUAAACGCCAUUUUCCUGCCUUGCUAUUGAAGUUUUUUCUCCAUAUGUGUUUGCCUGUGCACUUUCUGUUUCCAAGAGGGGACUUCAUACUGAUAUGUUGUGUUUUAUUCUGUUUAUUCUGAGAACAUAGCAGGAGAACAAGACAGAUGGGUUCUCUUCUCAUGAAGUGCUGAGUUAGCAAGAGGGGGGCUUCACACCCAGAAACCCAUGCACUCCAGUGUGCAGGCAAAAAGGACACCCGUACCCCAUCUUCCUUUUCAGAUUU
Molecule: long non-coding RNA, 468 nt
Filed under: Homo sapiens (human)
Lineage: Eukaryota; Metazoa; Chordata; Mammalia; Primates; Hominidae
Description: non-protein coding lnc-HAUS3-1:1
Source: RNAcentral